UAAUGUUGGUUUUAUUGAAUUCUGACUUUUGAUCAUUUUUUAUCGGCAGUACUCCCGUGGACCAACCCAUUAUUCGGCGUCAUUACAUAUUGACAAUUGCCUGCUGUGGAAAAUUGAAAUUAACUGAAUUAUGCUCAACAGACAUGAGCCAGUGAAUUGGAUUUAGUGGCGCAUGCCAUGGCUUCCAGAGCCAAGGAUGGUGCCGAGGGUGUAUGCGAACGCAACCACUGUUUUUGGAUAAGUGGCAUGGCUGGCUGGGCGUAUCGCUUGGCUUUGUUCACUCGAUGACUCUUGAUUGAUUCAGCUGGAAAGCGAAAGUGUGCGCGCGAUUCGCCCACUGUUAUGAAUUCCAUAUUUCGACGGGUGAUUUAUGAUAAAAUUCGAAUAUAAAUGCGAAAGUCCCUAAAUUAAGGCGAAAAAGGGGCGGUGCAGCAAAAAGGCGCUUCUCAUGCACAAAGCAAAAAGUGCACUGCUGGGAGGCUUCCUCAAUUUAACACAACAUUAUAUAAUUAUACUCUAUGGAGAAAAGGGAAAAUUUUAAGUUGGUUAAAAAUAACUUCAGGUGUAAAGGGUUAUGCAUGAGUUAUAAUCAUUGACUAAGGCAAACCCAAAUAAUCUAUAUGAAGCGUUUAGUUACCCUCGGCAGAUAGCCCAAAAUGAAGCAAAAUCCAUCAGCCGUUCGUUUAAGUUAUUUCGAUUCAUCAAAUUCAAGACUAAGGAAUUCUCAAGUAAUUUUAGAUAAGUAAUACACAGAUCGUAACCAGUGGCCCUGUCAAAAAAAGGUGAAAUCUGCACUUCCACAUUUUGUUUUCCUAUCCCCAUUAUCUUAUGAGCCUAUGGACGAUUUUGAAAACCCAAUUUUUAACGGAAAAGGACUCUAAUAUUUACAGCAAAACUAUUGGUUUUAACACUUUUGUUAAGCAUUAUAAACGGAAGGGAUCUCCACUUUUUGCAGCAGUCGCUAUGUCUUCAGUUAUUGUUGAAUAGUUCUUGCACUCGUUAAGGAGAUGAGCAGUCAUAUGGAAACGCCUGCAACCAGCAACAACAUUGUGAUCAUCGUUAGUUGGAUGCUCAAGCAUUCAGCGUGCAAUCCGCUUUCGUUUAGUGUCCUUAAUGCAAUUUCGCUCAAUUUAAUCAAAGACCUUGAAAACUUUCCAUAUCAGACUAAGUGCCGGGGACAAGGUUUGCCGCCCACAAACUAUGCACAUAUCUUGCCGCAAAGCCAACAGACGAACUCCACCUGCAAUCCACUGGCAAGAAAGCACUUCGCUCAGUGCUUCUUUAAUAACGCACACGGUGUUGUUGUUGUUCAAAUGUUACAAACACUGGUAUUGCGGUGUCGUGUGAACUAAGACGAGCAAUGUGUGAUUUUAAGCACCGAAAUUUCGAUGUCAAAAACACGUAGCAUCAUUAGAAACAGCCAUUUCGAGCCCCAAACUCCGCCGCGGCCACGUCGACACUACUGCUCCGUGUCGCCGCUCCAAACGUGCAAUGACACUUUCACUGAGCGCUCGCCUGAUAUCGAACCGAAAGUCAACCGACUGUUACGAGAGACGAGGUGGAAGGGAACCGCGUGGCAGCAAAGCAUAUCACGUUUAAACCUUAGUCGGGUCGAAGGGAAUACAGUUGUGCGGGUGGCGGGCAAUUGCCUGCGCAGCGAGACAAACUAAAAUAUAGUUAGACUUUUUGAUGAGAAUUCAAAGUCGGCCAAUAUCGGCUAUGAAAGCUCCACAGAUCCGGUGAAGAGCGCGUGCGAGUGCUGGAGUGCGCGUCACUGCUCAUAUGAAUUGCCAACUAAUGGGGGAAAGUGCCAACUUACCAAGCCCCCCACCAACCCUGCAGCCAUCCAUGUAGUCCGAUAGUCAAUAUGCGCCAGCAAACUCAUGUAAACACCCGAAACGCAGUUAAGAGUGAACAAGUUGUAGUUGCAGAAGCGCACUAACAACUCAAAUUCGGUAUGAAUAGUACAACAAAUUGGAAUAAUAAGUGAAUUCAUGUUGAAUGGGAGCCAUAUAUAUGGCAUCGGGCUUGCACUCACACAUCCCUCCCCGCCGACACACCCGAAAGACCCGUCGUUCUAUGCUGAUGUUCGUGAGACAUACAACAUUGGUACAGGAGCAGAAGCUUCGCGCCGCUGUUGAAUGCCCCUUUGAUUUUCCUUUUGAUAUGCGGAGACUUUUUCCUUCGCGUCGCUCCAUCUUCUUGUUAUUUUUCGUCUACUUUCGCUUCGUGGAAUAUUUGUCAGUUUUCGCGUUGUAAUGAAUUCUGUCUGCGUAUCAAACCAGCUGACGUGCUGGGAUUUUUUCACAUAAUUUUUUAUAAGUUAAUUUUCAGCUAAGGACGCGUUUCGCACACACAUGCACCUCCACCAUCCGCAAGACCCAGCCACCAAGUUGGCGCUGAAGUGUCUUUGAGCUGCACGUCGCUGCGCGCAUCAAGUUUGGACGGCAAAGGACCCCCUGAUCGCCCUCCUUCGGCAUGUUCGAACAAACAUACAUGCGUAAAAUCGUCGCUUUAAUCUCGCACGAAACUUCAAAUUGGCACUCGUGAUCAGGACUCUCUCCGAAGUCCGGACUAGGAUUAUGCUGCGAUGGAGGCGUCUCGGAUUAAUUUUUCCGGAUGGCAGUAACGCGGCUCGAUGACUUGAUAUCCAUGCGUUUACGAGACGAAUAUUUUGUUCCCAUUUAAUCAUUGGCUUUGGGUAUACCGACAAUGCAAUUGGCAGCUCAGUGCAGCAAUCCGUCCAUCAAUAUGCGAUACGAGAGUAUUUUGCAGUGUUGAGGAAACUGCGGCGUGUUUUCCCAAGAAGUAAACCAAUAAACAUGCUCACUUAAUUCACAGACGCAACUUGGCCGAGUGUGAGAUGAUGACUAUUCUAUUUAUUAUCUCCAUGUUUGGAUACAAAACAGGGUGACAUAUCGGCUGCACAGACAUACGAGUAUACACACAUGUGGCAUUUACUGUGGCUACUCAAAUGGAAUUUGGUGGGCAGUGUACGUGAUAGAGCCAACACCCAAGUACUUGCCUUGGAAGGAAUCACUUAAAAUGGAUAAAGGAGCAAAUAAAAGCAAAGUCAAAUGGUCGGACAAUUAUCCUGCCGAAUGUGAAAGAAAGCCACAAAGAAGUAGCCACGCCGAAGUGCUGAUGAGCACUCGGCAACAACAAAUGCGAGUGCCGGGCCAGGCCGGGCUGGCUUAAGUUGCGGCCGAGCGGACGGGCCGGACAGGGUGGCUGGCGGUGAAGCGAUGUUGUGUUAUGUGCCGGUGACAUUUAAGCACUAAGUGCAGGCAGAUCACAAGCGAAAAGUUUAAACUUGACAAUUGCAUGCGAAAUUAGUUGACAGUGAUAUGUGUGGCGGGCCGGGUGUGCUGUUGUAAUCUCGAGGGAGAUUGGGAAUGAACGAGUCAAAGGAAAAGUUUUGCUGCCGCUGACAUAAGAAAAGGUCACAUCAAAGAAAAGUACAUCAACGAGAACUAUGGAAAGUGCUGGCUGUUGUAAGUUGUUUAUUGAGUUGGUCGCCGACUCGGGUCGACAUGUGUGCAGCGUUUAAUGGGUCUUUUGUGAUAACAAUAAAAGAGCACAUUGCGUUUCGUACAAUUAAAAUUACAAAGCGCUUAGAAGUUCAAUAAAAAGGAUUAGUUGAAAGUAAAUAGAUAUCCUUUCUGGAAGUAUAAUUAAUGAUCAAUUAUAAUACAAAAUACAUUUGUGGAAGAUGAACAAUUAUCAUACGAGCAAACUCUACCGGAGUUAAAAAUACUUCAAAUGAGAUAGAUGAAAUCUGUCCAUGCUUUGGACCAUCAGGAUGCUUUUACCUUCAGAGGUGUGCCAUUUUUAUGUUUCAUUUCAUUUUUGUGCAGAAUACAGAGCACCUGUGGGUUUGUGACAUGCAAUUCGCCCAGUAUAUAUACAGUUACAUGUUUCGGAUCAAACAUUCGAAAAGUUCAAUCGAUGUAACCAACUCUCCAUUGCCCCUUCAUCCACAUGUUGCUGCAACAAUUUGUUAUGCCGCACACAAUCCCAUUAUAUUACAGCGCUUCAUCCGUAACCCUAUAAGAAAAUCACUCAACUAAUAGGCGAACCUUUAGACGGUAUAUUCUCAGCUCUUUAUAUACAUAUAUAAUAUAGAUUGCGCCAUGGUUUUUACUGAAACGAGAACCGAUUCAAAGUGAAAUGAGAAACCGUUUAGCCAAGUUAGUCCAUUGAUGCUUGGAAUUGAACUCUGCGAAAGGAUUUCCUACAGGGCGGCACCUGUUUCGGUGAGCUGAUACAUAUUUACAUAUGCGGCGAUGUGUGUGUGCCGUACAAACACAUACAAGUGCCACUUGAAUGCAAUUAUUUUGUCAUCGUACGUUUCCUAAUUGAAUAUUCCAUGCCACAUGCGAACGUUACACAUCCGGCUUGCAACGAAUAUGUCACAUUUCGAAAGCUGACCACACUUGCGCCCUCCGCACGGCGCCGCAACCUUCAUUCGAUUCGAUUGUCUACAGACGCAUUGUUGGCAUAACUCUCAGGUUACUCCAAUGAUACCCACACAACUAAAAUGCCCGCUCACACUCUGACAGUCGCACUAACUAUGACGAAUGCGAACGAUGCGCGUUUCGUGGCGCGACGACACUGAAUGGCGCUGAAGAAGGAGAUUUGCGGCAGGCACUUGGCCAUUCAAGCGGUGGAACAUGCUCGACUCGGCCUUUAGCCUGCCCGUG
Zeugodacus cucurbitae (melon fly) is the source of this 4703-nucleotide long non-coding RNA. RefSeq lists it as uncharacterized. The transcript has 3 exons. NCBI's taxonomy places the organism in Eukaryota, Metazoa, Arthropoda, Insecta, Diptera, Tephritidae. The record is from RefSeq and is a predicted model, not a curated record.